GCCCGCUCAGAAACUUAAAGAAGUUGACGGGGCCCGGCACAAGCGGUGGAGUAUGUGGUUUAAUUCGAUGCAACGCGAAGAACCUUACCUGGUCUUGACAUCCCGGAGACCCUUAGGAAACUAGGGGUGCUUCCAUCUGGAAGAAUCUGGAGACAGGUGCUGCAUGGCUGUCGUCAGCUCGUGUCGUGAGAUGUUGGGUUAAGUCCCGCAACGAGCGCAACCCUUGCCUUUAGUUGCCAGCGGUUCGGCUGGGCACUCUAAAGGGACUGCCGGUGUUAAACCGGAGGAAGGUGGGGAUGACGUCAAGUCCUCAUGGCCUUUAUGACCAGGGCUACACACGUACUACAAUGGCCGAUACAAAGGGCAGCGACACUGCGAGGUGAAGCCAAUCCCGUAAAAUCGGUCUCAGUCCGGAUUGGAGUCUGCAACUCGACUCCAUGAAGUUGGAAUCGCUAGUAAUCGUGGAUCAGCAUGCCACGGUGAAUACGUUCCCGGGCCUU
Molecule: ribosomal RNA, 500 nt
Filed under: uncultured Desulfobulbus sp.
Lineage: Bacteria; Pseudomonadati; Thermodesulfobacteriota; Desulfobulbia; Desulfobulbales; Desulfobulbaceae
Description: bacterial SSU rRNA
Rfam family: Bacterial small subunit ribosomal RNA
Source: RNAcentral